CGUCAGGACGAACGCUGGCGGCGUGCCUAAUACAUGCAAGUCGAGCGGACAGAUGGGAGCUUGCUCCCUGAUGUUAGCGGCGGACGGGUGAGUAACACGUGGGUAACCUGCCUGUAAGACUGGGAUAACUCCGGGAAACCGGGGCUAAUACCGGAUGGUUGUUUGAACCGCAUGGUUCAAACAUAAAAGGUGGCUUCGGCUACCACUUACAGAUGGACCCGCGGCGCAUUAGCUAGUUGGUGAGGUAACGGCUCACCAAGGCAACGAUGCGUAGCCGACCUGAGAGGGUGAUCGGCCACACUGGGACUGAGACACGGCCCAGACUCCUACGGGAGGCAGCAGUAGGGAAUCUUCCGCAAUGGACGAAAGUCUGACGGAGCAACGCCGCGUGAGUGAUGAAGGUUUUCGGAUCGUAAAGCUCUGUUGUUAGGGAAGAACAAGUACCGUUCGAAUAGGGCGGUACCUUGACGGUACCUAACCAGAAAGCCACGGCUAACUACGUGCCAGCAGCCGCGGUAAUACGUAGGUGGCAAGCGUUGUCCGGAAUUAUUGGGCGUAAAGGGCUCGCAGGCGGUUUCUUAAGUCUGAUGUGAAAGCCCCCGGCUCAACCGGGGAGGGUCAUUGGAAACUGGGGAACUUGAGUGCAGAAGAGGAGAGUGGAAUUCCACGUGUAGCGGUGAAAUGCGUAGAGAUGUGGAGGAACACCAGUGGCGAAGGCGACUCUCUGGUCUGUAACUGACGCUGAGGAGCGAAAGCGUGGGGAGCGAACAGGAUUAGAUACCCUGGUAGUCCACGCCGUAAACGAUGAGUGCUAAGUGUUAGGGGGUUUCCGCCCCUUAGUGCUGCAGCUAACGCAUUAAGCACUCCGCCUGGGGAGUACGGUCGCAAGACUGAAACUCAAAGGAAUUGACGGGGGCCCGCACAAGCGGUGGAGCAUGUGGUUUAAUUCGAAGCAACGCGAAGAACCUUACCAGGUCUUGACAUCCUCUGACAAUCCUAGAGAUAGGACGUCCCCUUCGGGGGCAGAGUGACAGGUGGUGCAUGGUUGUCGUCAGCUCGUGUCGUGAGAUGUUGGGUUAAGUCCCGCAACGAGCGCAACCCUUGAUCUUAGUUGCCAGCAUUCAGUUGGGCACUCUAAGGUGACUGCCGGUGACAAACCGGAGGAAGGUGGGGAUGACGUCAAAUCAUCAUGCCCCUUAUGACCUGGGCUACACACGUGCUACAAUGGACAGAACAAAGGGCAGCGAAACCGCGAGGUUAAGCCAAUCCCACAAAUCUGUUCUCAGUUCGGAUCGCAGUCUGCAACUCGACUGCGUGAAGCUGGAAUCGCUAGUAAUCGCGGAUCAGCAUGCCGCGGGUGAAUACGUUCCCGGGCCUUGUACACACCGCCCGUCACACCACGGAGAGUUUGUAACACCCGAAGUCGGUGAGGUAACCUUUUAGGAGCCAGCCGCCGAAGGUGGACAGAUGAUGGGGGAC
RNAcentral lists this ribosomal RNA (1479 nucleotides) under Bacillus sp. (in: firmicutes). RNAcentral describes it as "bacterial SSU rRNA". It matches the Rfam family "Bacterial small subunit ribosomal RNA". The record is from RNAcentral. Lineage: Bacteria; Bacillati; Bacillota; Bacilli; Caryophanales; Bacillaceae.